UCCGCGUGCAGGAUGAAGGCCCUCGGGUUGUAAACUGCUUUUUGUACGGAACGAAACGGUGCUCUCUAAUACAGGGCGCUAAUGACGGUACCGUAAGAAUAAGCACCGGCUAACUACGUGCCAGCAGCCGCGGUAAUACGUAGGGUGCAAGCGUUAAUCGGAAUUACUGGGCGUAAAGCGUGCGCAGGCGGUUUUGUAAGACAGGUGUGAAAUCCCCGGGCUUAACCUGGGAACUGCACUUGUGACUGCAAAGCUGGAGUGCGGCAGAGGGGGAUGGAAUUCCGCGUGUAGCAGUGAAAUGCGUAGAUAUGCGGAGGAACACCGAUGGCGAAGGCAAUCCCCUGGGCCUGCACUGACGCUCAUGCACGAAAGCGUGGGGAGCAAACAGGAUUAGAUACCCUGGUAGUCCACGCCCUAAACGAUGUCAACUGGUUGUUGGUCCUUUGCUGGAUCAGUAACGAAGCUAACGCGUGAAGUUGACCGCCUGGGGAGUACGGCCGCAAGGUUGAAAC
Molecule: ribosomal RNA, 512 nt
Filed under: uncultured bacterium
Lineage: Bacteria
Description: bacterial SSU rRNA
Rfam family: Bacterial small subunit ribosomal RNA
Source: RNAcentral